AGAGUUUGAUCCUGGCUCAGGAUGAACGCUGGCGGCGUGCUUAACACAUGCAAGUCGAACGAACCUUCGGGUUAGUGGCGGACGGGUGAGUAACGCGUGAGAAUCUGCCCUCAGGAGGGGGAUAACGGCUGGAAACGGCCGCUAAUACCCCAUAUGCCGAGAGGUGAAAUGAAUUUCGCCUGAGGAUGAGCUCGCGUCUGAUUAGCUAGUUGGUGGGGUAAGAGCCUACCAAGGCUACGAUCAGUAGCUGGUCUGAGAGGAUGAUCAGCCACACUGGGACUGAGACACGGCCCAGACUCCUACGGGAGGCAGCAGUGGGGAAUUUUCCGCAAUGGGCGAAAGCCUGACGGAGCAACGCCGCGUGAGGGAUGAAGGCCUCUGGGCUGUAAACCUCUUUUCUCAAGGAAGAAGAUCUGACGGUACUUGAGGAAUAAGCCACGGCUAAUUCCGUGCCAGCAGCCGCGGUAAUACGGGAGUGGCAGCGUUAUCCGGAAUUAUUGGGCGUAAAGCGUCCGCAGGCGGCCUUGAAAGUCUGCUGUUAAAGCGUGGAGCUUAACUCCAUUUCAGCAGUGGAAACUACAAGGCUAGAGUGUGGUAGGGGCAGAGGGAAUUCCCGGUGUAGCGGUGAAAUGCGUAGAUAUCGGGAAGAACACCAGUGGCGAAGGCGCUCUGCUGGGCCAUAACUGACGCUCAUGGACGAAAGCCAGGGGAGCGAAAGGGAUUAGAUACCCCUGUAGUCCUGGCCGUAAACGAUGAACACUAGGUGUCGGGGGAAUCGACCCCUCCGGUGUCGUAGCCAACGCGUUAAGUGUUCCGCCUGAGUACGCACGCAAGUGUGAAACUCAAAGGAAUUGACGGGGGCCCGCACAAGCGGUGGAGUAUGUGGUUUAAUUCGGUGCAACGCGAAGAACCUUACCAGGGUUUGACAUCCUGCGAAUCCCUUGGAAACGAGGGAGUGCCUUCGGGAGCGCAGUGACAGGUGGUGCAUGGCUGUCGUCAGCUCGUGUCGUGAGAUGUUGGGUUAAGUCCCGCAACGAGCGCAACCCACGUCUUUAGUUGCCAGCAUUGAGUUGGGCACUCUAGAGAGACCGCCGGUGAUAAACCGGAGGAAGGUGUGGAUGACGUCAAGUCAUCAUGCCCCUUACAUCCUGGGCUACACACGUACUACAAUGCUACGGACAAAGGGCAGCAAACUCGCGAGAGCUAGCAAAUCCCAUAAACCGUGGCUCAGUUCAGAUCGUAGGCUGCAACUCGCCUACGUGAAGGAGGAAUCGCUAGUAAUCGCAGGUCAGCAUACUGCGGUGAAUACGUUCCCGGGCCUUGUACACACCGCCCGUCACACCAUGGAAGUUGGCCACGCCCGAAGUCGUUACUCCAACCCGUAAGGGUGGAGGAUGCCGAAGGUGGGGCUGAUGACUGGGGUGAAGUCGUAACAAGGUA
This 1440-nucleotide ribosomal RNA is filed under the name metagenome. RNAcentral describes it as "bacterial SSU rRNA". It matches the Rfam family "Bacterial small subunit ribosomal RNA". The record is from RNAcentral.